This 433-nucleotide ribosomal RNA is filed under the name uncultured bacterium. RNAcentral's name for it is "partial 16S ribosomal RNA". It matches the Rfam family "Bacterial small subunit ribosomal RNA", at positions 29 to 507 of the family's 1533-position model. The record is from RNAcentral.
AACGAACGCUGGCGGCAUGCCUAACACAUGCAAGUCGAACGAGACCUUCGGGUCUAGUGGCGCACGGGUGCGUAACGCGUGGGAAUCUGCCCUUGGGUUCGGAAUAACAGUGAGAAAUUACUGCUAAUACCGGAUGAUGUCUUCGGACCAAAGAUUUAUCGCCCAGGGAUGAGCCCGCGUAGGAUUAGCUAGUUGGUGGGGUAAUGGCCUACCAAGGCGACGAUCCUUAGCUGGUCUGAGAGGAGGAUCAGCCACACUGGGACUGAGACACGGCCCAGACUCCUACGGGAGGCAGCAGUGGGGAAUAUUGGACGAGGGGCGCAAGCCUGAUACAGCAAUGCGGCGUGAGUGAUGAAGGGGUUAGGGUUGUAAAGCUGUUUUAAACGGGAUGAUAAUGACAGUACCGGGAGAAUAAGCUCCGGCUAACUACGUG